RNAcentral lists this long non-coding RNA (5270 nucleotides) under Triticum aestivum (bread wheat). Its description in RNAcentral is "long non-coding RNA (TAES_LNC008637)". The record is from RNAcentral. Lineage: Eukaryota; Viridiplantae; Streptophyta; Magnoliopsida; Poales; Poaceae.
CUCUUGGGGUAAUUUUGGUUGUUGUUGAUGUAGUGCAACGGGCCUGUUCAUGAAGUACACUGGCUCCGCGGCGAGCAGUGGAGAGGACACGGGUGUGCAGUUCCCCGUCCCCGUAGUUGUCCCCUGAACCUGUAGAAGCCCAUCUUGUAUGUGAGCAUAUGGCUAGAAACAUUGCGGUGUGGUUUCGGUGGUCGUCCACGUGCACUUUGUUUGGGGGGCAGUACGUAUGUUCUUUGUGGAUGUGCACUUCAUUCGGGCCGAGCUUCGUGAAGCUCAGUUUGCACUCCAUCGGAUCUGGGCUCCUGAUGCGGUGGUGCGCACUGAGAUGGUCGGGGAUGCUCGAGGCUGGAUCCAGGCGUCCCGGUGCCUCGCCGGAGGAGGCAAGAAAGAGAUCCCGUCGCUGGCCGCCUAGCUUGCCGGAGGAUGAGGUCAGGAAACGGUGGCUGAGGUGGAGCAGCUCCUUCCCACCUAAUGAACAGUUCCAGCAGCAUUCCAGGCCGCAUCCACCACGGCGGCUAACCCCCCAUGCGCAUUGUUUUUGUGUUUUCUAUAGAUAAAUCUAAGUGCAAAUUGCAGCCCGCUGUUGUUAGUUAUUGAGGUUCACUUUACUCAUUUUUGCAGGAAGAAAUGUGGUGCACUUCGGUUGGACGCCGCAUUGCUUCCUCCCCCUUCUCCCCCUGCUUCCUCUGCUCGCCGGCCGGUCGAUCUCCACUUGUAGUGCACACGGGCGCCCCUUUGUAGUGCACACGAGCGAUUGUACGACACAUCUCCAAAAAUGAUGCUACAACCCGCAAGCCCUGCAUCCCCGCCUCCCUACAGUUUACCUUUUUUAGAAAGAGAAAAAACGAAGUGCGAGAUGAAGUCAACUGUGGUUUGAAUGCAAUCGGUGUGGAUGCCCUUUACCCAAAAUUGGUGGAUGAAGUUCACUGUUUUUGUGUUUUUCAGUAGAGAAAUCAAAGUAGAAAAUGCAAUCCACUAUUCUUCUUGCUCUUGGGGAUCAUUUGACGUUUUUUUGCAGGAAAAAUGGGUGGUGCAGUUCGGUUCGAUGCCCCGUUGCUCAAAGUUUUUUUUGUUGAUAGCUGCAGCUCAUUGUAAAAGAACACUGAAUGCCAUUUGGUGCAGUCUGUAAAAGAACUCUAAAUGUCAUUUGGUGCAAUUCAUUGUUAUAAAAAUGCGUGUGGUUAAACUCAGAAAGAAAGAUGUGGUUCAAUGCUCUCAACUCUUGGGGGAUCCAGCCCACAUGAAGUGCACUACUGUUGUAUCGCAGUCCAAUUCCCCCUUAAUAUACAUUGGACAUGGGAAAUAAAAAUUUGUUUCGAGAGGUUCACUUUUGUCCAACAAGUUCAGUUUUAUUGUGUGGAGAGGUUCUCUCCACUGUACUAUACAUGUCUUUUUCUUUUUUUGGAGAGGUCACUUCAUUGUACUAUGCAUUUCUUUUUGUUUAGAAAAAUAACAAAAAGAAUCGUUUGCAGUCCUCUCUCAUGACAUUGCAGUGCGCUUUCCCGUGUGAUGAAGCACACUAACAUUGAUAAUAUGGUACACUUGCGCCUAUGAAAAAAAUUAAAAAAUUAUAAGGUUCACUUCGCAAAACAUGUAGCUCCUCUAGUGUGCACUUGGGGUUCGCCGGCUAAUGAUGCAUGUCGUGCGUUUUGCCGGUGACCAUACUGCAGUCCCUCAUCGCUGACGUGAGUUGUUUUGCAGCUCACUCUUUUUUUCUUCUAGAAAUCAUUUGCAGUGCACUCAGUAAGAAAAGAGAAGAGAACAUUAAUGUUCAUUUGAAGUCCAUUUUGUUGUUUAUGAGGAACGCAAAGAGAAAGACUAGUAAGAAUGGAUGGUCAAUUUGUAUAGUUUUUGCCCUAGUGUAGUUCGGUUGGGUACUUGUGUUGUUGAUUCUGCUGUGUACCGGAUGGUUGCGUGGCUAUGUGAAAAUAAUGAGUGGACAUGUAUGUUUUGAAGCUCACUUUAUUCUGUCACGCAGUUCGCUAUAAAACUCCUUUGAGGUUCACUUGGUACUCCGAAACAAAACACCUUCAGAAGAAGCUCGCUACUCAUUGCAUGCAGUGUGUUUGGUCCUCAGAUGUGGUUCACUUUUGAGAGUGAUGCUGCUCACUUGCACAAAGCGUGGAAGUGUGAAAAAAAUUAGCGAAACAAAAAAUAGUAAUGCGGUUCACUUCCAUGUAUGUUGUGGUUCAUUUGCACUCGUCUCUACAGUCCACUCUGGUUCAUAAAAAAUGUUUUUAAAAAAGGAAAACAAAAACUCGUUCGAGAUAAAUUACGUCCAACAAAAAAAAUUCAUGAAGUUCGCUUGACUGUCUGAUGGAGUGCGGUUUUCCAUCCGAAGCAGUGCGUUCUUCUGUCGUUCACAAAAGCUUAUCUGAGAAAAUUUACGCCCGACAAGAAAAUCAUGAAGUUCGCUUGACUCUCUGAUGCAGUGCGGUUUUCCGUCCGAAGCAGUGCGUUCUUCUGUAUUUCAUAAAAAAAUGACAACAAAAACUCACAAAAAGCUCAUCUGAGAAAAUUUACGCCCGACAAGACAAAUCAUGAAGUUUGCUCGACUGUCUGAUGCAGUGCGGCUUUCCGUCCAAAGUAGUGCGUUCUUUUGUCGUUCAUAAAAAAAUGACAACAAAAACUCACAAAAAAGCUCAUCUAAGAAAAUUUACGCCCGAUAAGACAAAUCAUGAAGUUCGCUUGACUGUCUGAUGCAGUGCAGUUUCUGUCCGAAGCAGUGCGUUCUUCUGUCUGAUGCAGUACACACGUCGGUUUUGGUGUCGCGAAAAACAGAGUAUCCGCAUUUUAGUAAUUUUAAAAUUGCCCUUAAACCGUAAGGAAUUAGAGAGCGUUUUCUACAUGAAAAAAAUGCGCCUCGUCGAUAUCUUUCCGACGAUGUAUCAUUUGCAUCAUUUCGCCGAGCGGUUUGAAAAAAUGUACGAAAAAACGGCCGUUGUCACUCGUCAUUCGCCGCACGAUUUUCAAAAUUCACUUAAAACCGUAAGGAAUCUCAAAAACAUUUCAACAUAUGAAAGUUGUGCCUCGUCCGUAGCUUUCCAACGGCGUAUCACACGCCUUGUUUCGACAAACGGUUCAAAAACUAGAGCAGAAACGGUACCAAAUUUGAUUUUUUUUUAAAACAGAGUUCCGCGAUUUAGUAAAUUUGAAACUGCCCUUAAACCGUAACGAAUUAGAGAAAAUAAUAGAUAUAAAAAAGAUGCGCCUAGAUGAUAUCUUUUCAACGGUGUAUCAUUUGUUUCAUUCCGACGAGCGGUUUAGAAAUAAAGUGAAAAAACGCUCGCUGCCACACGUCGUAUGCCGCACCAUUUUCAAAACUGCUCUUAAUCCGUGAGGCUUGAAAAGAGCUCAACAUGGCAAAGUAGCGCCUAAUUCGUAGCUUUUCAACGGUAUAUUACACGCCUAGUUCCGAUAAACGGUUAAAAACUAGAGCAAAAAAGUACCAAAAAAAUAGAGCGUGCAGUUUUUUUUGCGGCGAGAAGUUCACUCGCGUGAGUACUGCAGCACACUUGGUUCAAACAAUGAUGUGCACUUGCGUUGAGCGUGCAGUGCGGAAGUAUUAUCAGAAUAGUUAUUCUGCUAAUAUUAGCAGAAUAGACCGGCUAUAUAUAUAUAGGGUGGGUCUAUUCUAAUAACACCCCUUAAGACCUUAUUCUAAUAACACUUCCUCUUAUUCUGAUAACACCCAUACGCCCACCCGAACAGAACAAAAACAAAUAGCCCACCCCACCCACGCGCACCCCACUCCCCACCUUUUCCUCGAUCCCCCACCCCACCUUCUCCCCGCACCGGUGCCUCCCAGCAAGCCAUCGCCCCGGCCAUGACUCCCCCGGCGCGGCGCCCCCCACCUUCUCCCCANNNNNNNNNNNNNNNNNNNNNNNNNNNNNNNNNNNNNNNNNNNNNNNNNNNNNNNNNNNNNNNNNNNNNNNNNNNNNNNNNNNNNNNNNNNNNNNNNNNNNNNNNNNNNNNNNNNNNNNNNNNNNNNNNNNNNNNNNNNNNNNNNNNNNNNNNNNNNNNNNNNNNNNNNNNNNNNNNNNNNNNNNNNNNNNNNNNNNNNNNNNNNNNNNNNNNNNNNNNNNNNGGUCACAACCUCACACGGUGCCGCCCCCACGCAGCGCGUAGGUAGUCGACCGCUGUCGUGCCACCCUUCAGCAGGUCACCGUCCUGCCGCCUCUCCCCAUGCCGGCAGCACGCACCUGCCCGCGAGCACCAUCGGGGUCAAAGCACCGCUAUCCCCUGCCGCCCUGGUGGCCUCCUUCUAGGCCGCGACAACCGGAUCCAGCCUCCCCUGCCCCUGCAUCCUCUUGUUGCAUCACAGUGGCCGGAUCGAAGUAGCCCCCGCGGAUCCGACGUGGAUUCACCGUCGCUGUCAGCGGCUGCUUUGGAUCUAGGGAGUCCUGCCGCCUCCGAUGCAGGUUGCCGCCGGAUGCCCCUGCCUCCUACUUUGGCGAAUCGCUGCUUCAGGGAGCCCCGAUGCGCCAACCACCCCAAUGCACCAGCCUCCCCUGCUUUCUCCCCAAUGACGAACAGGCAACCACGCCAUUGUUUGAGAUUGUUGCAGUUCAUUUUUUAUUUUUGGAGGAAAAUCAGUGCACUGCAGUUUGUUGUUCCCGUCGAUGAGAUUUGUGUAUUUUGUGUUCUUCUGAAGACAAAUAAAAUUGCAAAUGCAGUCCACUGUACUUUUGCUCUUGUGGUUCAUUUUACUCUCUCUUUUUUUGUAGAAAAGAUAGGUGAUGCAGUCCGCCGGCCUCCUCCCACGACGAAUUUGGGCGACGCACGGGCUCCUACCCCUUUGGGUGUUUUGCAGGUGAAUAUUGUAAUGCCGGCCGGAAGGGCACUGCUGCUGGGUGCCCGUGGAUCAGGGGCGGCUGCCGUGCAGUACGCAUCAACAAUAGGCGUAGCAACCGUUCCACUCUCCUCUUGGGGUAAUUUUGGUUGUUGUUGAUGAAGUGCAACGGGCCUGUUCAUGAAGUACACUGGCUCCGCAGUGAGCAGUGGAGAGGACACGGGUGUGCAGUUCCCCGUCCCCGUAGUUGUCCCCUGAACCUGUAGAAGCCCAUCUUGUAUGUGAGCAUAUGGCUAGAAACAUUGCGGUGUGGUUUCGGUGGUCGUCCAUGUGCACUUUGUUUGGGGGCAGUACGUAUGUUCUUUGUGGAUGUGCACUUCAUUCGGGCCGAGCUGCAUGAAGCUCAGUUUGCGCGCGUGUGCGGCUCGGCUACCUAUUUCGUGCAGUCGACUACAUCAAUACUUGAAGUGUGUUUGGU